CAGGGUACAGGUCGGUAAUUGCUCUGUUUCCCGUUCAUAGACAGCAGGGAAGCUUCACCCGCAUACUUUUAUUUGUCAGCAUCGAUCGAUCAAUGCGUUGUCCUCGUAGAAAAAGAAGAGCGCUUGGCUUGAUAACCAAGGGAUCGUACAAAGCUCGCCGCUGAUGGAGCUAGGUGCUCCCGUCCAUAGUUUUCACAAGAUGGGCUGCCAAUCCAAGAUGGUAAUGAUAUGUUGAGUUUGGCAUUCCAUCAACAAAGAAACUGUCGCGAGAUGCAUUGGAGGCUCUGGAAGUUUCACAACAACACACAAAAAAAGUCUUCCCAAAAGAGUUGAGUCUUCUAUCUUAAAGGGCGAAGGCUAGAGUGUGCCUCACCUUUGAUUUAUGGCUCUGAAAACUGUUGUAUGUUUUUGUUUGUUCUUCUUUUAUUUCUCUCUUAAUUGUUGUACUCUCUGUCUUUUGUUAUUCUCCCAGAGUCCCAGUCGACCUAUAGCUAUAGUCCUCAUUCUUGACGCUUCAGGUUCAAGAAAAGGAACUUUAUGAUGGAAAAAUGGACUUCAGUCUGCUCAACCCUUCAUGUUACUGUGCCGGCCGAGAUGUGCUUGGUCGCUGGUGGUUGAGAUUUCAGAUCAGGAGCUCUGGAGUCUGGACUCUGGACUGCAGCGAGCCAAAUCAGUCACCGGUUUGCUUCCCACAUCGCGGACAACGGCAACCUGCAGUCGCUUGCUUUCGUCCUUGAAUUGCCACCGUCAUUGCCAUCAUCGCAAAGUAGUGUACAAAGGUUUUUUGGAUUCAGAUCCUGACUAUCUCAUGCCCUAUUUCACCCCUCAUUUCAAACUCUACUUUGUAAACAGUACAUAUACAGUGCAAAACAGUAUUAUGUACGUUCAUAUGCACACGGUUACUAGAGAUGACAUCAUAGGGAAG
RNAcentral lists this long non-coding RNA (925 nucleotides) under Zea mays. RNAcentral describes it as "long non-coding RNA (ZMAY_LNC003393)". The record is from RNAcentral. Lineage: Eukaryota; Viridiplantae; Streptophyta; Magnoliopsida; Poales; Poaceae.